Molecule: transfer RNA, 76 nt
Filed under: Agrilus sp. AGR01
Lineage: Eukaryota; Metazoa; Arthropoda; Insecta; Coleoptera; Buprestidae
Description: tRNA-Trp
Source: RNAcentral
AAGGAUUUAAGUUAAAUAAACUAACAGCCUUCAAAGCUGUAAACAAAGAGCGCGCACCCCCCCUUUUUAAGCCUUA